Long non-coding RNA from Haliotis rubra (blacklip abalone), 161 nucleotides. RefSeq lists it as uncharacterized. The transcript is spliced from 4 exons. The record is from RefSeq and is a predicted model, not a curated record. Lineage: Eukaryota; Metazoa; Mollusca; Gastropoda; Lepetellida; Haliotidae.
CGUAGCAAGCCAAUUUUUCCGUGUAAGCCCGAUAGUAUGCAAAGCUUUAUUAUUUAGAUAGUAUUGGGGGCUUGCCUAACCUUUUUAGCAACGAUCAUGUGUGAGCCCGUGCUUUUUUAUAUAAUGGUAGCUACGCCCCUGUCAGCCUGUUUCAGCCUUUA